Molecule: ribosomal RNA, 742 nt
Filed under: Bacillus subtilis
Lineage: Bacteria; Bacillati; Bacillota; Bacilli; Caryophanales; Bacillaceae
Description: bacterial SSU rRNA
Rfam family: Bacterial small subunit ribosomal RNA
Source: RNAcentral
GGCAGUGCGCAGCUAUACAUGCAGUCGAGCGGACAGAUGGGAGCUUGCUCCCUGAUGUUAGCGGCGGACGGGUGAGUAACACGUGGGUAACCUGCCUGUAAGACUGGGAUAACUCCGGGAAACCGGGGCUAAUACCGGAUGGUUGUUUGAACCGCAUGGUUCAAACAUAAAAGGUGGCUUCGGCUACCACUUACAGAUGGACCCGCGGCGCAUUAGCUAGUUGGUGAGGUAACGGCUCACCAAGGCAACGAUGCGUAGCCGACCUGAGAGGGUGAUCGGCCACACUGGGACUGAGACACGGCCCAGACUCCUACGGGAGGCAGCAGUAGGGAAUCUUCCGCAAUGGACGAAAGUCUGACGGAGCAACGCCGCGUGAGUGAUGAAGGUUUUCGGAUCGUAAAGCUCUGUUGUUAGGGAAGAACAAGUACCGUUCGAAUAGGGCGGUACCUUGACGGUACCUAACCAGAAAGCCACGGCUAACUACGUGCCAGCAGCCGCGGUAAUACGUAGGUGGCAAGCGUUGUCCGGAAUUAUUGGGCGUAAAGGGCUCGCAGGCGGUUUCUUAAGUCUGAUGUGAAAGCCCCCGGCUCAACCGGGGAGGGUCAUUGGAAACUGGGGAACUUGAGUGCAGAAGAGGAGAGUGGAAUUCCACGUGUAGCGGGUGAAUGCGUAGAGAUGUGGAGGACACCAGUGGCGAAGGCGACUCUCUGGUCUGUAUCUGACGCUUGAGGAGCAAAUCUUG